This 395-nucleotide ribosomal RNA is filed under the name uncultured bacterium. RNAcentral describes it as "partial 16S ribosomal RNA". It matches the Rfam family "Bacterial small subunit ribosomal RNA", at positions 338 to 730 of the family's 1533-position model. The record is from RNAcentral.
CCUACGGGUGGCAGCAGUGAGGAAUAUUGGUCAAUGGGCGCGAGCCUGAACCAGCCAAGCCGCGUGAAGGAUGAAUGUCCUAAGGGUUGUAAACUUCUUUUGUCAAGGAAUAAAGUGAGGCACGUGCGCCUGAUUGUACGUACUUUAUGAAUAAGGAUCGGCUAACUCCGUGCCAGCAGCCGCGGUAAUACGGAGGAUCCGAGCGUUAUCCGGAUUUAUUGGGUUUAAAGGGAGCGUAGGUGGGUUGGUAAGUCAGUAGGGAAAGUUUGUGGCUCAACCGUAGAAGUGCAAUUGAAACUGGCAGUCUUGAGUACAGGAGAGGUAGGCGGAAUUCGUAGUGUAGCGGUGAAAUGCUUAGAUAUUACGAAGAACUCCGAUUGCGAAGGCAGCUUACU